UCUAUCAUAUAACUGAUGCUGGGGUUUGACAAUUUAUCCAUGACUUGCCAUCAAGUCGUGACUCAUAAUAGAGGGACUGAAUCACACGUUAACUAUACCUAGAGAUUCAUUUUAGUUAUACUGGAUUGUCACUACAUACUGCUAGGUAUCACUGAUGGAUUGUGAGAGCUCACUAGGGUUGUUCUGGAUCGACAAUCCUUGAUGAGUUAGAGUGAAAUUAUUUCGAUCCAUUGAAAAGAGUUUCAAUGAUACUUUGAUAGAGAUCAUUGUAUAUCUCAC
This 279-nucleotide long non-coding RNA is filed under the name Elaeis guineensis (African oil palm). RNAcentral's name for it is "long non-coding RNA (EGUI_LNC065363)". The record is from RNAcentral. Lineage: Eukaryota; Viridiplantae; Streptophyta; Magnoliopsida; Arecales; Arecaceae.